RNAcentral lists this ribosomal RNA (2874 nucleotides) under Salmonella enterica subsp. enterica serovar Dublin. RNAcentral's name for it is "bacterial LSU rRNA". It matches the Rfam family "Bacterial large subunit ribosomal RNA". Lineage: Bacteria; Pseudomonadati; Pseudomonadota; Gammaproteobacteria; Enterobacterales; Enterobacteriaceae. The record is from RNAcentral.
GGGUUGUGAGGUUAAGCGACUAAGCGUACACGGUGGAUGCCCUGGCAGUCAGAGGCGAUGAAGGGCGUGCUAAUCUGCGAUAAGCGCCGGUAAGGUGAUAUGAACCGUUAUAACCGGCGAUACCCGAAUGGGGAAACCCAGUGUGAUUCGUCACACUAUCAUUAACUGAAUCCAUAGGUUAAUGAGGCGAACCGGGGGAACUGAAACAUCUAAGUACCCCGAGGAAAAGAAAUCAACCGAGAUUCCCCCAGUAGCGGCGAGCGAACGGGGAGGAGCCCAGAGCCUGAAUCAGCAUGUGUGUUAGUGGAAGCGUCUGGAAAGGCGCGCGAUACAGGGUGACAGCCCCGUACACAAAAGCGCAUGUGCUGUGAGCUCGAUGAGUAGGGCGGGACACGUGGUAUCCUGUCUGAAUAUGGGGGGACCAUCCUCCAAGGCUAAAUACUCCUGACUGACCGAUAGUGAACCAGUACCGUGAGGGAAAGGCGAAAAGAACCCCGGCGAGGGGAGUGAAAAAGAACCUGAAACCGUGUACGUACAAGCAGUGGGAGCACAGGUUUACCUGUGUGACUGCGUACCUUUUGUAUAAUGGGUCAGCGACUUAUAUUCUGUAGCAAGGUUAACCGAAUAGGGGAGCCGGAGGGAAACCGAGUCUUAAUUGGGCGUUAAGUUGCAGGGUAUAGACCCGAAACCCGGUGAUCUAGCCAUGGGCAGGUUGAAGGUUGGGUAACACUAACUGGAGGACCGAACCGACUAAUGUUGAAAAAUUAGCGGAUGACCUGUGGCUGGGGGUGAAAGGCCAAUCAAACCGGGAGAUAGCUGGUUCUCCCCGAAAGCUAUUUAGGUAGCGCCUCGUGAAUUCAUCUCCGGGGGUAGAGCACUGUUUCGGCUAGGGGGCCAUCCCGGCUUACCAACCCGAUGCAAACUGCGAAUACCGGAGAAUGUUAUCACGGGAGACACACGGCGGGUGCUAACGUCCGUCGUGAAGAGGGAAACAACCCAGACCGCCAGCUAAGGUCCCAAAGUCAUGGUUAAGUGGGAAACGAUGUGGGAAGGCCCAGACAGCCAGGAUGUUGGCUUAGAAGCAGCCAUCAUUUAAAGAAAGCGUAAUAGCUCACUGGUCGAGUCGGCCUGCGCGGAAGAUGUAACGGGGCUAAACCAUGCACCGAAGCUGCGGCAGCGANNNNNNUGCUGGAGGUAUCAGAAGUGCGAAUGCUGACAUAAGUAACGAUAAAGCGGGUGAAAAGCCCGCUCGCCGGAAGACCAAGGGUUCCUGUCCAACGUUAAUCGGGGCAGGGUGAGUCGACCCCUAAGGCGAGGCCGAAAGGCGUAGUCGAUGGGAAACGGGUUAAUAUUCCCGUACUUGGUGUUACUGCGAAGGGGGGACGGAGAAGGCUAUGUUGGCCGGGCGACGGUUGUCCCGGUUUAAGCGUGUAGGUGUGUGUUCCAGGUAAAUCCGGUUCACUUUAACACUGAGGCGUGAUGACGAGGCACUACGGUGCUGAAGUAACAAAUGCCCUGCUUCCAGGAAAAGCCUCUAAGCAUCAGGUAACAUCAAAUCGUACCCCAAACCGACACAGGUGGUCAGGUAGAGAAUACCAAGGCGCUUGAGAGAACUCGGGUGAAGGAACUAGGCAAAAUGGUGCCGUAACUUCGGGAGAAGGCACGCUGACACGUAGGUGAAGUGAUUUACUCAUGGAGCUGAAGUCAGUCGAAGAUACCAGCUGGCUGCAACUGUUUAUUAAAAACACAGCACUGUGCAAACACGAAAGUGGACGUAUACGGUGUGACGCCUGCCCGGUGCCGGAAGGUUAAUUGAUGGGGUCAGCGCAAGCGAAGCUCCUGAUCGAAGCCCCGGUAAACGGCGGCCGUAACUAUAACGGUCCUAAGGUAGCGAAAUUCCUUGUCGGGUAAGUUCCGACCUGCACGAAUGGCGUAAUGAUGGCCAGGCUGUCUCCACCCGAGACUCAGUGAAAUUGAACUCGCUGUGAAGAUGCAGUGUACCCGCGGCAAGACGGAAAGACCCCGUGAACCUUUACUAUAGCUUGACACUGAACAUUGAGCCUUGAUGUGUAGGAUAGGUGGGAGGCUUUGAAGUGUGGACGCCAGUCUGCAUGGAGCCGACCUUGAAAUACCACCCUUUAAUGUUUGAUGUUCUAACGUGGACCCGUGAUCCGGGUUGCGGACAGUGUCUGGUGGGUAGUUUGACUGGGGCGGUCUCCUCCUAAAGAGUAACGGAGGAGCACGAAGGUUGGCUAAUCCUGGUCGGACAUCAGGAGGUUAGUGCAAUGGCAUAAGCCAGCUUGACUGCGAGCGUGACGGCGCGAGCAGGUGCGAAAGCAGGUCAUAGUGAUCCGGUGGUUCUGAAUGGAAGGGCCAUCGCUCAACGGAUAAAAGGUACUCCGGGGAUAACAGGCUGAUACCGCCCAAGAGUUCAUAUCGACGGCGGUGUUUGGCACCUCGAUGUCGGCUCAUCACAUCCUGGGGCUGAAGUAGGUCCCAAGGGUAUGGCUGUUCGCCAUUUAAAGUGGUACGCGAGCUGGGUUUAGAACGUCGUGAGACAGUUCGGUCCCUAUCUGCCGUGGGCGCUGGAGAACUGAGGGGGGCUGCUCCUAGUACGAGAGGACCGGAGUGGACGCAUCACUGGUGUUCGGGUUGUCAUGCCAAUGGCACUGCCCGGUAGCUAAAUGCGGAAGAGAUAAGUGCUGAAAGCAUCUAAGCACGAAACUUGCCCCGAGAUGAGUUCUCCCUGAGACUUAAAGUCUCCUGAAGGAACGUUGAAGACGACGACGUUGAUAGGCCGGGUGUGUAAGCGCAGCGAUGCGUUGAGCUAACCGGUACUAAUGAACCGUGAGGCUUAACCUUACAACGCCGAAG